Molecule: ribosomal RNA, 274 nt
Filed under: uncultured bacterium
Lineage: Bacteria
Description: partial 16S ribosomal RNA
Rfam family: Bacterial small subunit ribosomal RNA
Source: RNAcentral
AUACAGAGGGUGCAAGCGUUAAUCGGAAUUACUGGGCGUAAAGCGCGCGUAGGCGGUUUGUUAAGUUGGAUGUGAAAGUCCCGGGCUUAACCUGGGAGGGUCAUUCAAAACUGGCAGACUAGAGUGUGGUAGAGGGUAGUGGAAUUCCUAGUGUAGCGGUGAAAUGCGUAGAGAUUAGGAGGAACACCAGUGGCGAAGGCGACUGCCUGGACCAACACUGACGCUGAGGUGCGAAAGCGUGGGUAGCGAACAGGAUUAGAAACCCUAGUAGUCC